GACCUUGACUUUAGAGCUAUUCAACUAAGGUACAGCUUACUUGAACCAGGACACAACCUCCUCUUAUGGGUAAUUCAUGAAUCAUCACAUCCAAGUAGGCCUAAAAGCAGCCACCUUAAAAAGCGUCAAAGCUUACAUGUGUUAUUCCCCAAUUCCUACAGCCUUACUCAACCCUUCAACUUUACUGAACACUUCCAUAACCCUAUGGAACCUUUAAUGUUAAAACUAGUAACAAGAAAUAACCUUUCUCUUUAAUGCAAACUUAAGUCGCAAAAACCACCAACGACAACUAAUAGCCUACAAUAGCAACUUCGCUAGAAAACCCUAUUUAUUAUCCUAUUAACCUAACACUAGGGCAUUUCAAGAACGAUUAAAAGAAAAAGAAGGAACUCGGCAAAUACUGACCCCGCCUGUUUACCAAAAACAUCGCCUCCCGCAACCAUGGGAGGUCUAGCCUGCCCAGUGACCUCUGUUCAACGGCCGCGGUAUCCUAACCGUGCGAAGGUAGCGUAAUCACUUGUUUUUUAAAUAAAGACUAGUAUGAAAGGCAUCACGAAGGUCUAACUGUCUCCUUUUUCUAAUCAGUGAAACUAUUCCCCCCGUGAAG
RNAcentral lists this ribosomal RNA (607 nucleotides) under Niceforonia nigrovittata (black-banded robber frog). RNAcentral's name for it is "partial large subunit ribosomal RNA". The stretch from base 403 to 561 matches the Rfam family "Bacterial large subunit ribosomal RNA", at positions 1792 to 2012 of the family's 2925-position model. Lineage: Eukaryota; Metazoa; Chordata; Amphibia; Anura; Strabomantidae. The record is from RNAcentral.